UGAAAUUACAUAGAUUCAUCUCCAAUUUCAUUUUGCGCGCUCUCAAUUUCCUUUCCCAGAUUCUCGAUUCGUCCUCCAACAACACCGUUUCACAGCUAAACCAAAACUCUCCCAUUGAGUUUCAACCACCGCUGCACAAUGAAGAAGCGCCACCUCCAACUCCGCUUAUUCUCUCCGAUAAAACGACGAUAACAAUAGUAGCACCUUCAAUAAUAGUUUCAAGCUCCGUAACAGAAGAGACGUUCAUAAAUCUUACUUCUCAAUUUUCAAUUUCAUUUUCAAUUUCACUUUCUUUGAUUCAAUUUGAUUUGAUUCAUCUUCCUUUCAUGCCUCAAUCUCGGCAACGCCGCCACUGCUUCAUCUUCUUCUCCAGUUCUGAUUUGGGAUGAUGCUUAAUUCAAGGUCAGAACAAUGUAAAGGCAUCAACAAAAACUUGUGUUUUGGUAUGGAAUUUUUGCAUUUUAGCUUUAAUGAGCAGAGAUAGGAACAUAUUUCAACAUGGCAUGAAGGUUUCAAGUGACUUUGUUGGCAAGCUUGUUGGCCACAAGUAUGAGGUUACACAAUUCAAGACAAAUGAGAAAUUGAUUUGUACAUGGCAUGGAGAGUCGCUUUUAGCUAUGGAGGAGAAAUAGAUUCUUAGUUAUAGAUAGUAUAUUGUUGUUUUGAGAAUUUGGUUGUAAAUUCUUAAUUUCAAGAACAAUAUUAAAUACUAGUGAUGAUUUUUUUUUUGUAUUUUUGUGAUGAUAUACGUGAUACUUAUGGAUUCGAUUAAAAAAAUGUUUUGUAUAUAAAUUUUUUAUUUUGCUGAAUAUAA
Long non-coding RNA from Trifolium pratense (red clover), 814 nucleotides. RefSeq lists it as uncharacterized. The record is from RefSeq and is a predicted model, not a curated record. NCBI's taxonomy places the organism in Eukaryota, Viridiplantae, Streptophyta, Magnoliopsida, Fabales, Fabaceae. The transcript has 3 exons.